UCACAGUUAUAAAAAUGUCAUAAAAUAAGGCCACGAAUGAAAUUAUCUUUAGGUAUGAAAUAACUUAUUCAUAGAUGAAGGUAGAUUGUAUUGCUAGCUUUUACUGAGCAAGGGAUUUGCAGAUUGUCUCUGGGAUAAUUUGGUAACUGCUAUCUUGGGUUGUUUUCUGUCCUUUGGAUGUGUGUCUAUAGUCUCUAAAACUCUUUCGAUUUUAGCUGGAACAUCCACUCUCGUGGCUCCAAAGCAGAGCUAAUCUGCUUUUCUGCUUCACAACCUUCAUCUGUGUUUUUGUUUUGCCUCAGCAAGUGAAGGAAAAAGAUCAGGGCAUGAAUCUCUCACUCCAUUAGAAGGAUGCAUUUCCACUUUCAUCCAAUUAGCUGCUGUAAUUUGAAGCUUUGGGGGCCUGCUGAUAAGGUGGGAGGCUGGCAGAAGCAAGGCCCGCAGAAAGCUUUCCGAGGGCACACAAAUGAUCUCCCAUUUUUCCUGGGAAAACUCCAGCACCGAAAAACUGUGAGAAGUAACUAUGCAAGGAAGAUUCUUUCCACAAAGAGAAAACUCGUGGACUCGGAAUAUCUAGUCAAUUGCUUCUGAGAGCAAGGAUGGGCUUGGCGAAAUGGAGAAGUCAGAUAACACACUUGGGAUUGGAAUGUGGAUACACAAUACAGAAUGGCCAGCCAGUGCUCGAAUCUCCCUGGCCAAGAUAAUUGGUUCAUGCUCGGACAAAGGACUCACCAGAGACAAAAGAGGCAGAGGCAGAGGACGAGGAGAUCAGAAAAAACAGGAAGGCAUUUUGCAGGAUUUGCAAUAGCUCCGUUCAGAAGCAAUGAAUGUCUGAGACAGAGCGUGACAAUGAGGAGGAAAUCAGCAGCAGCCCAGAGUUAUCUGAAGGUCACUGGACAGUGCUAAGAGACAAGACGUCCAGGGAGACUGGGGACGUCAUAUGUAUUUGACAAAGCCUCUAUCAGCCUGGUUCUCCUAGUGACUAUGUUAGGGAAGAACAUUCCUCCCUAUCAUCACCAACCCUGAUGACGUGAAAUUGUCCCGGGCUGCCAGUUUCCUAUCAACGGGAUUACCACUUGGGUGCUGCAGGCAUGGCAUUUCCUCAUUGAGAAGUGGAGUCUAUUUCUUUCUCCUUUAAUCUGGAAUGAUCUUAGUGACUUGGAUUGAUACUGUUAUAUUGCAAAAGAGAUGUUCUGGAACUUUCAAUAGCAUCUUUGGAGAAAUCCAGUGACCAGGGAAGAAGUCCAGCAAUCCUGCGGCUACCCUGCUGUGAGAUGCCAUAGUGUUGUGAAGAUAUCUUAAAGGUGAGGUUGAGAUGCCAUGGAGAUGGAGAUAGAAACAAGAGGUAGGGAGAGAGAGAGAGAGAAAGACAGGGAGAGACCAGGUAGCACCAUGGCGCCAGGUGUGUGAGUGAAGAAGCCACCUUGGAAGUGGUUCACCAGGCCCAGCUGCUCCAGCUGAUGCCUAACACACAAAAGCAUCUUGUUUACAUCUUUAUAUAGCCCCCUACCCUUGACUCUAGGCUGAUCUGUAACUCAUUCUUGGUCGAUAAAAUGUGGCAGAAGUGAUACUGAGGCUAGAAGCCUUGAAGCUUUUGCCUGAGCCUCUUGUCAUGCUUAGUUGUCUUCCUCUGCCUCUUGAAGUCCAGCUGCCAUGAUAUGGGAAGCCCAAGCCCUAUGGAGGCCAUGCGUAGGCACUCUGGCUUAAAGUUCCAGGUAAGCUUCCAGCAGAUAGCCAGCAUCAACUGCCAGCCACAUGAGUGGGUCGUGUUGGUCUUUAGCCCAGUCAAGUUUCGGAUGGCUACAUACCCAUCUGAUAUGAAAGAUCUCAACUGACAAUUGCUUAGCUUGGUCCAGUUAGCACCAGGAGUUCAAAAGGUAAUAAUUAAUUGUUGUUUUAAACCACCACAUUUUGGGGCUUUGUAUUUGCAGCAAUAGAUAACUGGAAGAUAAACCAUAGCAACUAGUGUUUAACUUGGAAAAAUGCAGUGUAGAACCUAAUGUAUCAGAAGAAAAACAUUUGAAAAAUUAAAAUGUAGCAUGCCAAAGGGUGCGUGGGUGGCUCAGUCAGUUGAGGGUCCAACUUCAGCUCAGGCCAUGAUCUCACGGUUCAUGAGUUUGAGCUCCGCGUCAGGUCUGUGCUGACAGCUCAGAGCAUGGAGCCCACUUCAGAUUCUGUGUCUCCCUCUCUCUGCCCCUUCCUUACUCACACUCUGUCUCUGUCUCAAAAAUAAACAUUAAAAAAAUAAUAAAUAAAUAAAAUAAAAUGUAGCAUGCCAAGUACUGAAAGGCAAAUGAAUUCUCUUAGGCUAUUAGGAAAUCAUUUGUGAAUUAUCUAAUUAUUAUUGAUCGUGAUCUUAUUUCAACUUUGGAUGAUAUCCUCCCCUUAAGUCAUUUUGAGAAGGGAAGAUACUGAAAUUCUAGUAUAAGGAGGGGUAUAAUUCUACCACAAGACACAGAAAUGUACAUCAAAUGCCUCUCUUCCGCAUGUGUUAGUACUCAAAACAUCAGUCAAUCCACCAACAAAUAAAAGUUUAAUGACCCCUAUAUAUGACAUAUAUAUGACAUAGUCCCUGUUUUCAGGUUCCCAAAACAUUUCCUAAUAAGGUCUUUGUAGGCAGUGGGUGGGAAAACACAAAGCCUUGAGCAGGAAGAAACUGUACAGCCUAUCACAGGGUCUGGAAUAUUAGUUCCUUACUAAUUCUGUUGGAUAAAUCAUGUGGGAAAUCAGUGCCCAAUGCUGGUCACUAACUCAAAGCCAGGUGCGGCUUUACCUUCUAAAGCUCUAAAGGAUGAUAUAUGCCUCAGGGGCCUGCCUGUAAGUCUGAAAAUUCUUCCAUCAGUGUCAGGAUCAGGGAGGUCAGAAUUAAGUGUUACCUGUGUGUAUAUAUUAUCUGAAAUACAUAUUUUAUAUAAUUAUAAAUCUAUGUAUGAAUGUAUAUAUGUGUGUAUAUAUCAAUAUGUAUAUAUAUGUAUGUCUGUAUAAAAUCUUGCCUCCCUCUUGUUCUCCUUUCAUUUUGUGCAAGGUAAUGUGUUAGACAUUAUAGGGUUUAUAUAAACGUCUGUUUCUAGCUUGAGGUCUUCAAAGUGCCCAAGACUCUAAUUUACUCAAUCCUCCCUUUUUUAAAAGGUUGAGAUAAAAAGUAUACUGUGGCGUAGUUUAAAGUUCAGGAGGAAGGAUCUUCAAUAGAUACAAAGUAGCAUGAAAUAAAAUAAGCCUAAGCACUUUACUGCGCUAUGGAAUUCUUAUGUGGAUACUAAGACACAGAGACACAGGGACUGCUCCCAAGCACGGGCAAGUGGGUAAUGUAUGCCCAGAGGAUCGGAAGACCCAACUCUCCACCUUGUCUGACACUUUGCAGGAAUUCCAUCAUUAGAAGCAUUUCUUUGGGAUUAGCAUUUUAUUCAUCAGACAUAUGUUCACAAAUACGUUGCCCAAAGAGAGUAAAGUAACUGCUGGGAAAUCAACAGAGAGUGACAUCGUGGAUACAGGGGAGGUGACUGAGGUGAGGAUCAAGAAUGGAGAGGUGAGGCUGCAAGCAUUGGGGGCCUGUGGGAGAAAAUGAAGGCUCUACCUAGGAACUCCAGUCUGGGGCUGUGGGUGCUGGGGCAGCAUGAUGGGAGGAGGGAGAACACCUUGUGCAACUACUACGCACAUUUGCUCCAAAGUUGCUCUCAGCUGGAGAAUCAGACCGAAUAAUUAUAGUGAGUCCCUCAAGAUAGGAACACAGGACAGGGGGACGGAGUGGUGGAAGACACAGGGAGAAGCAGACACAGGGCGAGAAAGUUCUACUUCAAUCUGUGUCCCCAUCUCCCACAUUCACAGACAGGCCUAACUUUUGCUUUAAUAAGAGGGUUUUUUAAAAUCUGCUAGAACUUUUUAUAUUAUUUUCGUUUGCUGACCAUAGCUGUAACCUCAGGGAGGAGUUGCUUCCCCUUUGUAGCUAUGGUCUGUCUGUGCCUACCAAGGUAGAAAAGACAGAAACUAGUCUUGCAAAGAGAAUCUGAGGAUACUCUCCUGACCCCACCAUUGCCUCCAGCUUCAUAGAGUAGCAAAGCAAUGUUUUAAGCUCAGGUCAAAGGGUUACCCGUUUAUACAGAGCCUCUCUGAUCCCCAUAACGGCCCAUUUCUCACAACAAGUAGUAGACUGGUGACAGGAGAUACAGGAUGAACAAGCCUGCCCUCCGAGCAGAGGACACUGCCCUAUCAGCACCGGCUCUGCUUCCAAGUAGAUCCAAGUGUUCUUGACAUUUGGCAGCAAAGAUAGUAAUCCACCUCCAACAAUUAGACAGUAUCAGGAAAAUCCAAGGUUACAUGAAAACCAGGGACCUCAUUUCUAUCUGACUAUAAAUACCAUAUACAUUAAAGAAAAAAUGGGAGAUGUACCUGGACUUAAAUGAUCCACCAAAAAGUCAGUGCCAAAGGAAAGAAGGGAAUAUAGUUCUUAGAAUUUUUUUGGUUGCCAUGACAGAUUCCUAAUUAGCUUAAUGAAAAUAGGGACCUUUUCUUCAAAUGCCAGGGGUCUCGUGGAAUCCAAGAACAGAAUUGCACAUGGGUUCCAGGAACAACUGGAACUAACAAUAAAACUCAUCACAACCAUCUCUGUCUUCAUUUUUCACUUAGUCCUCUCAAUUUCUUUCUCGCUUUUUUCUUUCUUCAAAUUGGCUGCCUCCAUUUCUCCUGAAUACCAUGUGGAAACAUAGUCAUGGAGUACACAGCUUUAAAGUAUAUGCCAUAGGCGAUGGAAAAGUACCGGCUUGAAGCUCUGGCUUCAAGGCCAACAACGGUAGAAGGGGUUCCUAUUGGCUUACCUCAGGUCAAGGGUCACAGCUAGGGUCAUGGGGCUAGAGCCACACAGCAUAGAGGGGAUGCUCCCGAGGUAACUGUAUGCAUGAUGACCAUGUGGGUGGGAGUGAGGGAACAGGGGUCACAGCCUCGGGAAAAACCAAAGAACCAGGCAGGCCAACAAUGUGGCCAACACAGAAACCUUAAUGCAGCACAGCGGACCUAAAUGCAGGUUUGGGCAUGACGUGGCCACUGUGAGACCAUUUCUCUGAGAACUGGCUGCCCCCCAAUCCUGCUUAAAUGUCCCUCUACUUGGAGCAACAGAGACCCUUGUUUAAUCGUGACGCGACUUCACCUAAAUCCUCACUGACAACACGGAAGUAUUCCUCCCAUUAGACCUUUCUCUCUUACGUCCCAGACAUCAUAGUCUCACCUGCUCUCAGAAUGACCUCUGGGGAGAGAAUGGCAGUGAAUGACAAUACGGCCCCCCUUACCUUCAGACUUCCCCUUUGCAGCCAUCAGAGCUCUCUUGACUUUUCAUUUAGCAUUUCCUGGGACCGAGGGAAGAAGUGUAGGAGUAGGUGGCACAGAGAACCACUUUUGCUACCAGCAAGUGCUGUAGAUUUGCGGGGAUGUUUCAUCAUCCAUGGAAACCAUUUGUUUAAGCAAUUAGGAAUUUGGGUCUAGGGCAUUUGUAGGGAUUAAUGACCAGGUGGUAAACACUGACUGCUUACAGCCUUGUCAAGGGCUGUUUAGCAGCAGGAAAUGACCUGCUUCAAGGUGACUGAUGACAUUUAGUUGGAAAAUUAGAUGAACAAGAGCACACACUCACUUUGAGUGACUCAAGGAUGACAAUAUAGUGAAAGCUUUCCUUGGGCAAGGCUAGCUUCUCGGUUCGCCAUUUGAAGCAUUUUGCCCUUGGUUGUAGACACAGAGGUCCUCUCUGUAAACAUUCUUUUCUUUUAGUGGACCAUAGAGAACUGAAAUCAUGAAAUGAGAAAAAUAUCUGCAUCACUGUUGUGUAGAUAUUUAAUCCUAAAAUUCAGCACAAAUAUGAGGUUAUGUGAUGCAGUGGAAAGAAUAAUAGGCCAAAAGUUGGGGCCAGAAUUCUAGACCUGACUGUCAUUCCUUACCUUUGUGACCAUGAAGAAGUCAUCUCACUUCUAAGUUUAUUUGUGUCCCAAAUAAAGCAAGUGAUCUCAAAGGUACUCCUAGCUCUGUCAUUUUGUAAGUAUAGCUGUGGACUAUGAUCAUCAAGUUACCUGGAGAAAAUGUGAUGCAGUCAGCAAUAUGAUUUUGUACUUGUUGAGUGUUAUUUUUUUUCUAAUGCAGUCAAAGAUUCUGCAUAUGCUGGUCACAUGGGAUACUCAACAACUUAUUUUGGUGACGGAGUGAGAUGCCUGUGAAAUACUAUGCUUCUACUCUUGCCAUUCCUGUCUCAGAACCCGAUGUGCCCACCCUCUUGGUACUCUUCAUCUGGUCUUGUUCAUAGAAUGCCCUUAACGUUAACAAAUCAGAAAGGGUAAGCCAUAAGCCCACCAUUACUGGGAAAUUUAUAGUUCAUGGCUGCCAGAUUUGAAAAAGGGUUUUGAAUGAUGGGGUGGGCUCUUGACAAAGGCAAUUGCCCUGGGUGAAGCUCACAGGGCUGGAAGGGAAAGUUGUGGCAACGGUACCUUCAUGCUUAGGUUACAAUGGACAGGCAGGACAAGAAAAACAGCCUCUUGUUGGAAAAGGCAAGUCAGGAGCUAAAGUUUCUUUGUGGCAUCAGGAUGAUGAAAUUAUCUUCAAAGAACAGUAUUUUCCAACCAAGAAUGCAUUUGGGGCAUCCAAAGCCAUAAAUCGAUAGGUAUUUUAUAGAGCACUAUGAACACUUAACUCACCUGAAGCCCACAAUAGCUCUGUGAAGGGGGUUGUUAUCGCCAUCUAUCAACGAGAAAAUUGAGGCUUACCUGGGAUAAAUAAUGUUCCCAAGGUCAUGCAGCUGAGCUCACACACUAUUCCUUGCCUGAUUCCAGAACAUACCAUACUGUUUCUCCAGGGGGAAACAUAGGGCAGAUAAUCUGCCUCCAAAUAAUUAGGAGCGAACGAUGAAUUGAUGCAUUUAAUUUUAACCCCAAAUGGAAGCUAACGCUUAAAUGUUGUUCACUGUGCACCAGCUACUUUUUCAGUGCUUUCCAUAAAUGAACUGGCUUAAUGCUUACUAUGUGCCUUGGACAUGGUUACUAUUAACUUCAUUCACCUAGUGAAAGGGAGUCACGUAGCAGUUGAGUAACUAAUCCAAGAUUCCACAGCCAGCAACUGGUAGUUUUAAAGCCUCAUGAUGAUCUGUCCCUGUUGAUUUUGGAAGGUAAAGAAUAAAAAAGAACACCUUGGGAUUGGCUGUAAGACCAAGGGAGGUUUAACCUCCAUACCACGUGGUUUAAUUCUCACAAGGGGGAACAGGCCAGUGAAAAGAGAAUAUGAGUUUUCUCUGUGAUCCCAGCCUCAGCUGGAGAGGCUACAGGGCAGGUACCCAGCCUGCUCUUGCUCUGAAACAGUGGGAUUCACCUCUGGCAAGGGAAGCAAAGGACAGAAACAUAAGCUGCCAUCAAUUGAUUUCUUUUUAAACAUUAGAGGGGGAAAAAAUAGGCAGAUGAUAACUCAGCACUUUAAAGCUUUGCAGAUUGGGACGGUGUUUGUUAGUCAAAUUGCUAGGAUAAAGUAGGCAGAGUUAGACGGAGCAAAGGAGGAUACCUGGAGGUCAUUACAUGCUGUGUAUCUUGACUGCCGCAGCUACUGCUCUAACUCGUUAAAAUUUUCCCAAAGGUAAUGAAAUCAAGAGGGAGGAAUCUCCACAGAGUGGAAAGAGCCUGGGGCUGAAGAUGGAACAAUUUCUUAGCAACCUUAUUGACAUUAGGUUCUGUAUGAAUCAACAUCCCAAUAUGGUUACAAAAAGAGAAAAGUGGGCACAGCUGUCUUGGCCCUGUCAGAUAAAAAGUACACAGAACAGAGGAUGUGAGACGUGAUGGUUCCAUUUUAUUCUGUGUCGGUCAGAGCCCACCUGGCAUAGGAUAUCAGGUCUGGACAUCAUGUUGAGAGAGAGUACAGCUGGGGCAGAGCCAGUAGAAUGCGUGCAACCGUUAGGCCCAAAGAGAAGGGAAAAUUCUGACCGGGGAAGGGCUGAGGUUGGAGCAGAAGCUGUCCCAGAGAUAUGAGAGAAAAGGUGUGGAUCUUGGGCAACUGGCAGAUGACACUUCCUAGAAAAUCAAGAAGAAAAACCUAUCACCAUUCAGAGCAGGAACACUUUCUGCAAGAAAGUAUUCUUGUUAGUUGCAUUUUUCUAUAAUAACCAGAAAUUAGUUUUCCCUGACUACCCUUUUACAUUGCACUCCCACGUGACCUCUUUCUCUAGCCCACAUCCCUACUUAGUUUUCCUCUAUGGUCUUUAUCAAUGCUUAUUUAUGAUCUCCAUCUAUUAGAAAUUACACUCACAACGACAUUCAUUGUCCAUUGCCUCCUGCUGUAUUCCCACUGUCCACAAUUGUGCCUGACAAAGUGCGUGCUUGGGAAAUAUUAAUCGAAUGAAUGAAUGAAUAAAUGAAUGAGGUAGCAGCAACAGAAAUAGUGAGAUACGAAGAAGACAGGGUGGCACACGUGUCUCACUGCCCGGGUGCUGGAAGCACAGAUGACUCUGACCAUGGGAGAUUAUGAAUGUCCUGUCAGGUGAAGGUUGAGUUAGAUGACCAUUCCUACACUAGUAACUUUAUGAAACUUCAGGAAUAUGAAGGGGAAGGGUGAAAACAGCUUUCUGGACAGAAAAAAAAUUCUAAAAUGAAACUUAAAGUUUUUCACCUGUGAAGGAACUAACAAUCUGGGUGAAAAUGAGCUCUCUAGACUGUUACAAACUUUCUUAGUUUUGGCGGUCUGUGGUGCCAGGAGAGAUUUUGAAAACCUUUAUUUGGAAUAUAAAAACCCAUGUAGAUGUUAGUGGAACGAACCCUCACAGCUGAAGGCUAAAGAUAGAGAAAAGCAGGUGGUAUAGAAGAAGAUGAGGCUCGUGUCUCUGAAGGCUGUGGGAGAGAAUCCUUCUUUCCUUCCCAGCGAGGUUACCAGCAAUCUUUGGCAUUCUUUGGCCUUGUAGAUGCCUCACUUAAUCUCUGCCUCUGUUGUCACAGGGCAUUUGCCUGUGUUUCUGUGCCCAGAUUUCCCACUUUUUUGGGGGGAUGUUUCUUUAUUUUUGAGAGAGAGAGAGAGCACAAGCGACGGAGGGGCAGAGAGAGAGGGGGACAGAGGAUACGAAGCGAGCUCUGCACUGACAGCGGUGAGCCUGAUGUGGGGCUCAAACUCACUAACUGUGAGAUCAUGACCUGAGCUGAAGUCGGAUGCCCAACCACCUGGGCCACCCGGGCACACCCAAAUUUUCCACUUCCUAUAAGGACACCUGUCUCUGGAUCAGGGCCCAUCUUAACCAGAUGAUACCUACAAAGACCCUGCCUCCAAAUAAGGUCACAUUCACAGGUUCUGGGACUUAGGGCAUAAACAUAUCUUUGCGGGGAGGGACACAAUUCUACUCAUAAGAACAUAUCAAAAACACCAAGUUGGGCAUCUGAGGCCUGAAUGAACCAACUUUUCCUGGAUGGUCAAGCCUUGCCUCCUACCCUGCCCUUUGGGGAUAGUGUGUGUAAAAGGAAUAGGGAUCCUCCUACAGUCUCCCUUCCAUAUUCAGAAAUUACAGGAGAGUACACUCUCCUAAACUCUGACCUUUGAGGAAAGUGAACAUAAAAGAAAAUAAAAACAAUUUAACUUCAAAGCUUUGGCUAGGGUCUUUGAGGAGCUAAGGUAUGGCUUUCGAAGGGCAGAUUUCUCUAUAAUGAGAUUGUAGUUAAUAUUGUUGCUUCCCUUUGGAUAAGAAACUAAUGAUGGUGUUCCCGUUCCUUCACCAGUGGUUGUUCAGAUUUCAAGACAUUUGGGCCAAUAUGAUUUAUUUAUUCUUCCUUCAUUCAACAAAUAUCUACUGAGUUUCUAUUCCAUGCCAAAUACUUCUAAAAUGUGGCUACAAAUGCUCUAUGCAGUAGAUGUGACCUCUGUUAUUGGUUUUUAAAUCUCAUCACUGUUAAAAAGAUGUCUAAAAGAACAUGGAGAAAAAUAGCACUUUGUCCAGAAAAUGGUACUAUGCAAAUAAGUUUCAACUGGCAUGUAGAAGGUCUUCAUGGCUACUCUAAAAAUGCUGAGAAUACAGGAGCCGAUAAGGCAAGAUGGACAAGAGGCUUGUUUGAGGUUUCUGCAAAGAAAAGCCAGGGUCCCUCUCCCAUUGGGUGUGAACAUGGGUCUACUGCUGUCACAGUUGCUGACUCUGAGGGUAUGAGCCCUAAGGUAAAGUCAAUGCUUUGUUCAACAGAGCAGAGAGAGGAAAAGAGCUCGAAUCUCUGAUGACAUUGUUGAGUAGCCGACCUAACCAAACCUUAUAUUAGGGCAUUCUGUGUUAUGAGAAAAUAAAUUCUGAAAAUAAACAUUGAAUUAGGUUUGACUUUUGCACUGCUGGUGGGAAUGCAAACUGGUGCAGCCACUCUGUAAAACAGUAUGGAGGUUCCUCAAAAAAUUAAAAAGUGCUACCCUAUGAUCUAGCAAUUGCACUAGUAGGUAUUUAUCCAAAAGAUACAAAAAUGCUGAAGGGGCACAUGCACCCUGAUGUUUAUAGCAGCACUAUCAAUAAUAGCCAAAUU
Long non-coding RNA from Acinonyx jubatus (cheetah), 10487 nucleotides. RefSeq lists it as uncharacterized. Lineage: Eukaryota; Metazoa; Chordata; Mammalia; Carnivora; Felidae. The transcript has 7 exons. The record is from RefSeq and is a predicted model, not a curated record.